AUGCAGCAGAUGACCAUGUCUCCUUCCAUCUGCGUCGCCAUCUUGUUUCUUGCACUGGUCUCGCCUUCGCCAUCAUCAGCCAGCAUUAACAACAACAAUGGCGUCGCCGUCGCGGCCCCUAGCGUGCCCACGGCGACGCAGUUCCUGCAGGCGCACAACGACGCGCGCCGGGCGGUCGGCGUGGCACCCCUGACGUGGAACUCGACGCUGGAGCAGGACGCCGAGAGAUACGCGGGCCGGCUUGGUAUCCGCUGCAAGCUGGAGCCGCUGAAGUGGGACGCCCCGCGUAUCUACGGGCUGAACACCUACUGGGGCAGUGGGUUCAACGAUGGCGCCGCCGUCACUGGCUCGUGGGUGUACGAGCAGCAGUCGUACGACCACCGCGCCAACGCGUGCGCGCCCGGCAAGGUAUGCGUGUCGUACACGCAGGUGGUGUGGAACACCACGCGAGAGCUCGGCUGCGCCCACUGCACCUGCCGGAGCAGCCGCGACACCGUGGCUGUCUGCAGAUACUUCCCUCCCGGCAACUACCGCGGCGUUCCGCCAUACUGA
This 552-nucleotide ribosomal RNA is filed under the name Triticum aestivum (bread wheat). RNAcentral describes it as "partial small subunit ribosomal RNA". The record is from RNAcentral. Lineage: Eukaryota; Viridiplantae; Streptophyta; Magnoliopsida; Poales; Poaceae.